This 25635-nucleotide long non-coding RNA is filed under the name Citrus maxima (pomelo). Its description in RNAcentral is "long non-coding RNA (CMAX_LNC001794)". The record is from RNAcentral. Lineage: Eukaryota; Viridiplantae; Streptophyta; Magnoliopsida; Sapindales; Rutaceae.
UGGUGGUGGUGGAGGUGGCGAAACAUAAAUUACUGGUGCUGGUGGUGGUGAUGGCGAUGGCGGGGGCUUAUAAUGAGUUGGCGGUGGAGGUGAAGGCAAUGGAGGUGGGGGCGAAUAUUCUACACAUGGUGGCGGUGGAGGGGGAGGUGGUUCUAUACAAGGGGGUGGGGAUGGAGGUGGUGGCAAAUGGACUGGUGGAGGUGGCGGGGGAGAUUGGUAUGGAUAAAUAGGAGGUGGGGGUGAAUGUGGCGGUGGAGGUGGUUCUAUACAAGGGGGUGGGGAUGGAGGUGGUGGUGAAUGGACUGGUGGAGGUGGCGGGGGAGAUUGGUAUGGAUAAAUAGGAGGUGGGGGUGAAUGUGGCGGUGGAGGUGGUGGUGAGCUAUAAAUGUAAGGGUUUGGCGGUGGUGAGGAGUACAGUGGAGGAGGUGGUGGAGGAGAAUUUGGCGGAGGUGGUGGAGGGCGGACACAAUACGGUGGUGGUGGAGAAGAGUAAACAGGAGGGGGCGGGGGUGAUGGUGAUGGAGGAGGAGGCGGAGGCAAGUAUACAGGCGGGGGUGGUGGCGGAGGAGGAGGUGGUGGGGGUGGAGAGUAAACUGGCGGGGGUGGUGAAGGAGGUGGAGGCGGGGGAGAGUAGACUGGCGGAGGUGGCGAAGGAGGUGGGGGUGGUGGAGGAGGAGGUGGCAAGUAUACUGGUGGUGGUGGUGACGGUGGCGGAGGAGGUGGCGAGUAUACUGGUGGCGGCGGUGGUGGUUGCGGUACUACAACUGGUGGUGGUGGUGAAAUAACUGGCGGAGGAGGUGGAGGUGAGGGUGAUGGUGGCGGGGGUGAUUGCGGUAUUACAACUGGUGGUGGUGGUGAGGGCACCGGCAUUGGUGGAGAUGGGGGAGGUGGCGGGGGCAAGGUAGGAACAAAGGGUUUACAUUUAAAUGAAGAACAAUCCACGCGCUUGGACAGGAAUGACUUACAUUGCGCUGAAGACCUCUGUGCUGGCCUUGCUGGCAAGCAAUUCCUCCUGUCAUCAAAAGCUUGUAAGCUCAAGCAAACCGGCGGCUCCCCGGUGAAGAAAUUGUACGAGAAUGUGAAGUUCUGCAAGUUAGGCAGCCGACAAAUGCUCGCCGGGAUUGUGCCAGAGAGCAUGUUGUGAGCCACAUUGAGCUGUUCCAAGCUCACCAUUCUUCCAAUCGUGUCCGGCAAAGGACCCAGAAGCUGAUUGAAGCUCACAUCAAAUACAGUCACGUUCUUGAGCAUCCCAAUCUCCGGAGGCAAGCAAGACCUCAGCCCAUUAUUCAGUAGAAUAAUUUCGUUGAGUCUCGACAUGUUACCAAGACUCGAAGGCACACAGCCAUGGAAUUUGUUGUUGGCCAGGACAAUAACUGAGACGGGGGAGUUACCAAAGUUGUCUGGGAUUUCAAAUCUGAAGCGAUUGUUGUUGAUAAAGAUAGCAUCUAAAUCUUUGUCAAACAGCUCUCUAGGCACAGUGCCUUCAAAUUCGUUAUAUCUCAGAUCCAAGAACUUGAGUUGAGGCAACCUGAGAAGUACCUUUGGGAACUUACCAGCAAACCUGUUGUUGCUAAGAUCCAGCUCGAACAGCAGCUUGAGGUUCUCAAACUUGUGAGGAACAGUGCCACAAAACCGAUUUGAAUUUAUGUGAAACAAUGCAAGAUCAGUUAACAAGCCAAGCUCUUCAGGCAAGUACCCAGCGAUAUCACCGUGGUUCAAAUCAAUGCCGGCGACGGUUCUGAUCCUCUUGUUAUCAGGAGCAGAAGCACAGAAGACGCAAGUGUAGUUGCAGACAGCAGAUCCAACCCAAUCCCCAGUCAAAUUGUAAGGAUCAGAAAGAAUAGCUUGCUUCCAAGCUUGUAAUGCUAUGUAAGCAUUUCUGAUUCUUGGGUUUUCAAAAACAAGGGAUGGGUCUACAGUAACAUUCUCUCCUCUGUCUCCAAACUCGUCCCUGUAGUAAAGCAGCUGCCGCUGCCUGAUGUAGUGAGCUUCAGCAUCAGUGAGGCCACCAUGGCCGGCAAUGGGAACCACCUCAGCAGCAGCAGAGCCAAAGGAGCAGCACAAGACUGUGCUAAGGAAGAAGAAGACAAUGAGAAGUGAGAGAUGACGGCUGAUAUGGGUCUUCUUCUUCAUCUCACAUGAGACAUCUGAUUUGCCAAAUGCCACUUUCUUUUCUCUUUUUUAAGCUGCUCUUCCUUUUUUUUCUUCUCUCUCUUUCCAAGCUCAGAUUGCAAAUGGGAAUUGCUGAAUAAUUUUUGUUCGCCUUGAGAUCUGAGGCAAAUAUGGAGAAAGAGAGAGAGUGUGUGUGUGGGAUUUUAAGAUUUAGUUUUCCGCUUUGGCUCUCUACGCUUGGUGUUUGAGACUUGAGUUGAGAGGGGUUAGAGAGAGAGAGAGAGAUGGGUCUUUUCUAGGUAUUUUGGAGAUAUGUGUGAACAGAAAGGGGAGUGUAUGUGGGUGUGAGAAGUAAUACAAUCAAGAGACAGCUAAAUCACAGCUCAAAACCCACCAGAUUCUCUCUCCUUCUAACACUCUUUCUCUCUCUCUCUCUCUCUUUACAUAUAUAUAUAUAUAUUUUUUUUUUUUCCUACAUUACAUUAUUUAAUUUUAACCUUUUUUUUUUGUUUUACUUUAUUCUUUCUGAAUCCCAUUCCCAAUCAACCGAAGAAGUUGAAGUUUGGAAUAUUGAAUAAUAGCCCAAAAAAGCAUUAUUACAAUUUAAUCAAUUAAUAAUGAAUUGGUACAAAUAAUUGUUGUCAUUUCCUUAAAUUAUGCAGAAGUCAAUAAAACUUAUAAUGCAAAGCUGUUAAGAAGGGGUCGGUGGACGAUUCUUAAUCCCGGCGACUAUUGACCUGGAAAAAAUGGUCCGGCCAGCUUUCUUUUUUUUUUUUUUUAAUUUCCCCUUUAACUUUCCUUUUGGGAAUUUUUUUUUUUUCCAAACGGUAAUUACCAAUUGGUUGAUAUCACGAGACUAUUUAUGAGACAAAGUAUCACGAGAUUUUGGUACAGUAGUGGUGGUGGACCUAAGCCAGUGGGACAAAGGCAUGAAUCCACUUUUUAAGCCGGGUGGUGGAGUUUUUUUUGUUUGUAUAGGAGGUGCUUUGUCAAGUCAGAUAACUCCGUGGGAGUAAAAAGAACUGCUAGUAACGUUAGGCUAAAAUGACAUUAUUGGCCCUAUUCGUUAUCACUCACUGCACUGCCACGACUCAAUGAGCCAGAGCUACUGUUUUGUGGGCCUUUAAUGCCAAAUUUUUUUAUGUUCACCACUUUCACCUUUUGAGCGCAAUUUUCAGUUGGCCUCACACCAGAUUCUUGUCCUUUUUACUUGCUUUAAAUUAAAUGGCCACACUUCGGCUUCAAUUUCCAUGCCUAGCAAUGGACCAUGCCAAGUUCUUAAUAAUGAUGGCAAUUUAGGAAAGAAAGAUCGCAUUUCAAAUUAACUGGCGCGUCUUUUCUUUUAUUUGUAACGUGAGAGUAAUCAAAUUUUAUUAUUAUUCACAUGAGCGGUUUUCUAAUUUCAUAAUCUUUCCCCUAUCAUAAAAGAUUUUAUAUAGUUGAACCAACUAUUCUAUAUAACUUAAACGAGAGAAUAAUGUUAUAUUUCUCAGAUAUUAUAUCAAAAUAUUCAUUAUUUGAUGUUAAAAUUAUACAAUAUAUAAGAAUAUAAAGUGUAGAUAUAUCAAUCGCUGGAUGAAUGUUAGAGCAUCUCCAAAAGGCUCUAUAAAUUUUACUCUUCAAAUAUUUAUUUGUUUACUUAUGUGGUAAAUAGAAGAGUAAAAAAAUAUAUUAUUCUCCAAAAGACUCUUCAAAUAAAAAUGAGUUAAUAUUAUUUUAAUUAGAUAACUAUUUUUUUAAAUAAAAAGUCAAUAGAAAUUAAAUCAUCUCUCUCUCUUUCUCCAACAAAAAGUAAUAAAAUAAAAUUUAAAGAGAGAAAAAGUAACUCUCUAAAUUUAAAGAGAGAUUAUCAUUUCUUAUUUGAACAAUCUUAAUUGAAGUGUCUUUUGGAGCCUUAAUUGCUAAUGUGGCUCUUCAAAUAAGUAAUAAAAUCUUAUUUUAAGAGUUUUUUGGUGAUGCUCUGAUAUCUUCUUACACCUUAUACGAGAUAAAUAUUUUAGGAUGACAUUUGAGAUACAUACCAUUGCUCUUAAUAAUGCAGGAGACCCAGGUUCUCUUUAUAUAAUUAUUACUUGUCUUUCAUAAGUAAUUGUGAUGAAGUUUUUUUUUCUUUUAAGCAUAGCUCAACUGAUCAUAAUUGUAUUUUUAUGUCCACAGUCAUUUAAGUUCGAGUAAAAUUAAGGUUAAAGGAUUUGUAUUUAUUAGGUGAUUUUUUUUUCAAUCUUAAUCCAAAUAUUUAGAGAAAAAAAAAUUUGCGAUGAAGUUUUCUCAUUCUAUGGCAAAUAAGAAAACUUAUUUUAUGUUCUAAUAAUUAAAAAAUAGAAAAAAAAUUUGUCCAAACUAAGAUCGCUAAGAAAAUAACAACGGAGGAGUAGGUAGCCUGUGGUAACACCUCUUUGUUAUAUAUAUAUAAUGAAUUGUUCGUAACGUUAAAAGCAUCAAGCUAAGAAUAAUGAUAAAGAACAUUCAUGCUUACGUAACACCAAUCGCAAGUCGUUCUUUCCUUCGGCAUGAUUCACUUUGCUUGCUACCCUUCUUUUUUUUUUUUAAUUUUUUUUUUUAGUAGUUUGCUUUUGCGAUUUGUGUGUGUUUCUGUUAUUAAUUUUUUCUGCUCUAUUUAUUUAUGAGAACAAGAGGACAAUUUGGUAAUUAAAUAAUGAGCAGAUAAGACACGUUAAAGUAAUCACCAAAUUUAAGAGUUGCGGUUAGCCGGUUACUUCCAUAAAUCGCUGAAACAAACCGCAUUUUAUGGGAGCCCUAUGUUACAUUUACAUUAAAUGUAUCAUACAUAAUUCAUAAUAACCACAUAAAUUAUGAGAUCUAUAUAAUUAUAUGGUUCUUGUUGAUUGUGUAUGGUACAUUUAAUAUAACAUAAUAAAAUCCGCAUUUUAUAUAUAACCAGUGAAGAUGUAAGUAUGCAUGCAUGCUACGCGUCCACAUCACCACCCUGAUCUUCAUCAUCAUAAUGUUUGAUUUUCAGAAUUUGUCAUGUGAUAAUAACAAGUGGACCCCUCUUUUGAUAAGAUUAUCAAGUGAGGAGGAUAUAAUCUAAUCGAUUUGCUGAAACAUGUCUGUGGCCACUUCCGAAAUUACUGAAACACACUUGGCUGUGCCGUUUACAUCGUCGAUUAAAGUUCAAUAUUUUUGGGGGUAAUUUAGUCAUUUUAAGACUUAUUGGAUACCAAUGGAAAAACUCUGUUCUUUUUUGAGAAAUUGUAAACGAGUAAGGACCAUAAUGUAAUUACCUCUUUUUAUUAGAAUUCGGCUAUUAAAUAACAGAACUCUAAAUUCGUUUUCACAAAAGCUCGUUCCAACUUGCAAAUGCCGUUUGCGAGCGCGGGGGAAGAGUGGGUCCGGGAGCCAGUAGUCACAUAUCAAAGUGUCCUGACGCAAAAGAAAACGACAUCAAAGCAAAGUGAUUCUGGCCAGGGGGCCCACGUGUCACGUCCUGCUCGGCUGGAUCGUCGGCGCCAAAGAGGGUCCCGCUCGCGUGAGGUGUGCACGGCGUCCCGCAGAACGCGUCAACGCUCUACACAUCAUCGAUAACAACUGGGAAUUUCACUAAAAUGCCCCUUCGGGAUUAAUGAACUGUGAAGCACAAUUAACGCGCUUUCGCAUACCUUAUGAUUGGCUUGGGGUGACGUUGAUGGAAGUCUCCAGUUUAGAAUGCAUGUGCCGCGCUCCGUUGGAUACGAUUUUCGACUUCUUAUUUGCCCAGCUAAUAAUAUGCGGGGGAACUUUUUGUCUUUUUAAUUUGUGGAAAAUAAAAGAAUUGAGAGAUUAAGCAGACUUUUAUUGACAUUUUUUUUUCUCUGAAACAACAAUUCUUAUUGACACUGACAAUCGCACAAUGCCAGGCAUAUUUCGAAAAUUCCUUUGUCACAUUAUUCUUUAUUCUAUUAUUUUAAUAUUAUAUUAUAUUUUAUUAACAUUGUAUUAUAGUAAUAUUAUACAAUAUUUAGUGUUAUAUUAUAUUGUAUUAAUUUUUUGUAAUUAAUUUAAAUUAUAAAUUUAGAAAAUAAUAUCUAUAUUAGUUAGCUUAAAUUAUUAUUUAAGUAUUUAUCAUUAGUUAUGUUAAAUUGUUAAAUAAUAAUUAAUUUUAUAUAUUAAUUACUAUAGUAUAAUUAAAUAAUGUUAUAUUAUGUUAUAUUUUAUUUUUAUAUAUUAUUUAUAUUAACUUAUUAAAUAUUAAUCAAUUUUAUAUAUUAAUUAUUAUAAUAUAAUUAAAUAAUACAUUAUUUAGUUAUUUUUUGUAUAAUAAAAUUAAAAUAUAAAAUAUAAAUUUAUAUUAAUAUAUUAAUAAUUAUAAUGCAAAAAUAAAAAAAUGAAAAUUAAUUUUAUAUAACACUCUAUUAAAUUAAAAAAGUUAUAUUUAUUUAUUAUUAAUUAAAAAACAAAAAAAAAAAACACUAAUGCGGCAUUUUUAUCACAGCCCCUUAAUCCAUUAGCAUUUCCUUCCAAACAUAGCAUAGUAUUAAUUUAAUCAAAAACAAUGUUUUAAUGCUAUGCAAUGUUGUCUUCUAAACGCAUCUUAUAUUUAUGCCUUCAAAAAUCGUUUUCAAAUUCUUACAAUAUAAUAAGGUUAGUUACUACAAUUAAUAAAAAGCUACGAAUUUCAAAUUUAAAUUCUUCUUUUUCUUUUUUAAUGAGCAAAUUUAAAUUCUUUAAUCGUGAGGUCAUUUGUCAAUUAAGUUCAAAGUAAGAUAUCUCUCCCUUAGAGGCAAUUAUUUUAAUUUAAUUAAGGGAUGGGUAUCUCACAUCAAGUUUAAAAUUUGAAAAAAAAAUGAUGCCUUUUGAUGAUUGGAUGAGAGGUUUGUAGAUUUUGAAAUCUUCAACAUGUGGUCAAAGGGAGGACAAAAGUGCUCUCCUCCAGCUUUAUAUAUUGCCAAAGAAAUGAUGAAAAUAUUUAACACAUUUUGCGAUAAAUAGCUUUUUUACUAUUUUUUCCUUCAUUCUAUUUCAUACACUUCAUGUAAUUCGUGAAUUAAAAUUUUAAAAUAAAUGAAAUUUCUAUUUCUAAAGGAAGAAUUGAUUGUUUGACCUGUUCUUUUUAUUACAAGAAGCCUAAUUAGUAGACUAUUACUUUAGUUUGUGACUAGAGAUAAAAAUUCAUACAAUCGUCUCACAAUAAAUUUAACUAAAUAUGGAUAUGACACGUUUAAUAAUCGUAUCAUAAAAUUAGAACACGAACAUGAUGCGUUUAAUAAACAGAUAAAGCAACACGAUACAUUUAAUGCUAUUGCACGAUUACGAUAAAAAGAUGAACAACCCGAUUACCAAGAGAAAUACUACCAUAAGAUAAUAAAAUGAUAAAAAUAUAAAAAUUUAAUUGUACAAACAAACAAUCAUAAAAGUUAAAUCGUUUGAACACAAUAAUUAAUAAUUAAUAACUUAUACAAUAUAAAAAAAUGAAAUUAAAAAAUUAAUAUUUGUAUCAUAAAUGUGUAAUGGUAUUGAAGUGGUCCAACAUAUAUAUGACUUGGUUGUUCAUCAUGUUGUUUCAAUUCAUUUAUUAAUCAUAUCAACAUUUAUCAACAUAAAAAUGAAAUAAUCGUAUCGUUUCCGUGUAUUGACCAGCAUUGUUAUUUUUAUUUGGGAUAAUUUUUUACUAUUUUGUACUAUACUAUCGUUAUUAUAUUAUUUAUCGAUUAUAUUACAAAAUUUGUGGGGGCUAUAAUAAAACAUCACUAUAUCAUGCGUAAAAAAAAUUCACCAUAUGUUCGAAUUUGAAAAUUAAUAGUAUAUUUUCAGAUUUAUAAUGAGGUUUAAAUGGAAUGUAAAUAGUUUAAUUUGUCUCAUCAUCAUACAUAUUUGGGGAGAAAACUAUGGUGCAACGGUGAUACGGUAUCACCGUUGCACCCAGCCGUUGGAUCCCACUGGAUCCAUUCAUCUAAAUAGAUCCAACGGCUGAAUGCAACGGUAAUACCGUAUCACCGUUGCACCGUAAUCGGACCCCAUAUUUGGACCGUGUUAUUACAAAAUUGAUGACGAUCUAAUUUUGGAUAAUAAAACUCGCAUAUCUCAAUAUUACAUGUGAAUUCUCCAAUUUUUACUUUUUCUUUUCAUUUACGCAUUUAUCUAAAUUUUUAUGAACCAAUUUUCGUCAAAAGUAGACUUUUAGAUAUUAUAAGGAAACAAUUUAGGUUCUCACGUAGCUCCAAACCAGCUGGAGGCAUUUCUUCCAUAAACAAACGCCACUUGUUUUUUAAGUGGCUGGAGUAAGCCUUCGUGGGACCCUCCAUCCACGUAGGACAGAAACAAUUGAGGCCAGCCGGCAAAGCCAGCUGUAACGACUGGUCGCGACACGUGGAAGCCGGAGCGCAUACACGUGGUCAUGAUUUUUUUGGUUUUUUUUUUUUUACCUACGUGGCCAUGGACUCGUUCUUCUGGUGGUGGGGAAAUCCAAAGUGAAGCUUCUAAAAAUGCUAACUGCGUUAAAGUCAAAAGAGAUUAACAGGUGGUUACGCGGAUCAUGGGUAAACCAACACGUAACACCGAGCUAAAGCCACUAGAAGCCUGCAAUUUUUCGUUUUUUAAGAUAAGCCUAAAAUAAAAUGAAGCAAGAGCACCAAGAAGAAGCCUACAAACUACAAAGUACGUAUAAAGUUAUUACAAAAAUUACUAUAUUAACGUUGAACCGGUCAUUGUCUCUUCUAUAAGCUCGAGUUUGCUUUCACAUUUGAAUCCUUUUAUCAUUUUAUGCUCUCGGAUUUCAAAAGUCUAGAUGCUUUAAUUUUUUUUUGGAUUUCCUUUCUAAUUUAACUAUUUUCAUUUGGGGUUCCGGAUAGAGGGAUAUUGUAAAUUAUUGUAGUGAGUCAACAAUUGAAAAUUAAUAUAAAUAAAUAGUAAGAAAACUGCAGUUAAUCGUUGAAGUAGUAAUAAAAUAAACAAUUGAAAAGAAAAUGAAAAACAGAAAGUAUAAGAAAAAACCUGAGGCAUGUUAAGUAACAAUGUCCUUAAAACAGAUUUACCGCAUACUACUGUACUUUUAAGUUCGUUGGUAUCUGUUUCUCAUGAUAUAACGAGAACGAAUUAUUCACCAAGCACACAUAAAUAAUUUCAGCCAACAACAACAAUGUAGAAUUUCGAUUAAAACAGAAGGUCAGAGGAGGGAUAAUUUUUUUUUUUAAGUGCUCUGUGUGUUUGUUGUUUGUAAAAUAGAAGAGGAAGACUGUUUUUUUUUUUAUAUACAUGAGGGUAUAUAACUGUUGAAUAAUAAAAUUGAAUAUUUGUAGGUUGCAUUUUUUUUUUUUAUCUAAAAUCUGAAUAGGUCUGAAUGAAAAUGUCUGAAUGAUAUGUUUAUUUUUUCUUUUUCAAAAUCUAAAGAGAAAAACUUAAAAACUAAUAGUUUGACAUAAAUAUUCUUUUAAGAGGUGCAUAUAUUUGUUCUUCACAAUUUAUAAUUUUUAUAAGUUGAUUAGUUUGUUAGCAUUAAAAAAAAAUGUUAUCAUUGUUGAUCUUAAUUUAAUUUUUUAAUAAAAUAUGUAAUUAUAACAUCAAAUUUUAUUAUAAAGUCAACACUGUUAUUUUAUUUUUUGAUUCAUAUCAAUGGAUAUAAUUUGAUUUGUUCAAUAUUUCGGUUUUGUUAAUGUUAUCAUGUGAAUAAAAAUUUAAAGCAAUUAAAAAAAAUAACUUCAAGAAUAAAUCAAAAAUAUUAGGUUUAUACAUAAUAUUGAAAAUACAUGAAUUGUUAAGGGUAUUUUUAAAUUUUAAAAUUAAAAUUUUUCAUUUAAACUUCAUACUUCAAAUAAAAGUGAAUUUUUUCUAUUUUUUCUAUUAAGAUAUAAUUAUCUGACAAUAAGUGAUAAGUUAAAAAUAAUAAUCUAAAAUAAAUAAAUAAAUUUAUACUUUAGACUAAAAAACAAAUAACACAUUAAUUUACUUCUGUAACAGCCUCAUUAAAUUAAAAAAAAUCAAUUAUGUAACACUGAAAAAAUAAUACGUUGAAUAAGAAAAAUAAUGGCGUGCUUUUGGAUUAAAUUUGGGAAAUUUACAAAAAUAACCAUAAACAUUUUGGUUUAUUUCAUCUUAACCCCCCAAACAAAUUUCUAUCAACAUUAGCCAUAAAAGACCCUUUGAGUCCAAAACACCCCUCUCCCUCAUCUCUCCCAAACCAAACAAACACCCAUCAUCGGCGGCAACAUCAGCCCUCGUCGGCGGUGACUCCAUCCCUCAUCGGCGUCCGAUCUACCAUCUACAGCCUUCACCAAACUUAGGUUAGCCAUUUAACUUAUUUUCAUUAAUUUAAAAUGAAAAUUUAGAUUAAUAAUGGUUGUAGUUUGAGAAUAAUAGUGGUGGUGGUUGUGGUGUUUGUGAUGAUUGUUAUUGUUUUGGGAGUAUAUUGAAUUGGAAAAUGAUUUGGGGAAUUUGGGGGGGGGGGGGCAGCGCGCGCGCGGCUCGCUGCCGCACUAAAAAUUACAGUGGUAUUUUUUUUUUUACAAGUCAAUUUUUUUUGUUUUUGUUAUAAAUGUAAUGUAAUAAUUUUAUAAAUAUUACAGAUACAUGGCGAAAUCAGAAUCAUCGGAUAUCGAAGUAGGCAAGAUGUAUUUUGGUUAUGCCGAUCACUUUCCUGGUCGAAUUUCGAGCAUGUGUAAGUUAUCUUCGGUCGUAAAAGUUAUCGAGGAAAAAUUAACAAAGCGGCAGUUGAAUAUGUUCAAGAAGGAUAUAUUUGGGCAUUUCUUGGAGUGUCGAAGUUUUUCAUUUAGUGGGGUAAUUUUGCACAAUCUUUUACUGAGGCAAGUGGCCCAUGAAGAAGAUAGCUGUGAGGAUCAGUUAUGGUUUCAAAUUGGUGAGCAUUUGAUUCGCUUGUCAAUUGUAGAAUGGUGCCUGGUUACUGGACUUUUAUAUGGUGUUGAUAUCGAACUAUCAGAUGACAAAAAAAUGGAUAGGCUACGGAAAACGUAUUUUGGUGGUGUGCAUAGCAAGAUCAAUGUUAAGGAAUUCGAUGCAUUAUUUAAGGAGUUGAAAUUCGAGAAAAUUGACGAUAUGGACGCAUUAAAGAUUGCGCUCUUUUAUUUUGCGGACAGAGUACUAAAUGCAAGAAAAAAUCACUGUCAAAUCAAUUUCGAUUGGCUUAACGAAGUUGAUGAUAUACAGUACUUCUGAAACCGUCCAUGGGGUUUUGUGUCGUGGGAAAUGGUAUACGAUAGUCUUGAUGAUGCACUGUUCGAGAAAGAUGAAAAAUUUAAGACGACUCGGUUGAAAAACCCAGAUCAUAAUAUUGAGAAGUACAAUCUUUACGGCUUUACGUCCGGGGUUCAGGUGCGUUGUUUUUUUGUUUAUUAAUAAGUUUUAUAGUAUUAAAUAUUUGAUAGAUGUGUUUAUAGGUUUUUCACUUUGGUUGUUACAGGCUUGGAUUUACGAAGCGAUCGGAGGUUUGCCGUCAACAUGGGUCGUGAAAACGAAGAACAAGAUUCCCCGCAUCGUGCAAUGGAAGCCCAUAGCGUCUUCGAGAAUCAAUUUUGCUGAGGUUUAUUUGUUCUUUAACAACGAAUCUCGUCUUAUAAGUAAUAUGUAUUAGUUAUUUUUUUAACUUUACUAAAUUUAAGUUAUGUAUACUUACUUAAAAUUUUGAAUUGAAUUUAUGGCAGGGGGACAUUUUACAAACUCUUGAGCCAAAUUCAAAGGAGAGUAGCAAAAAAUAUUGGCUCACUGUGAAGGAUUACAUGCCAAGCAUUCCAGACUGGGUUCAUAAGGUCGGUUAUAAAUCUAAUUACUAUAAAUUAUAUUUAAUCGAAAUUUUUGACUUUUCAUUUAUUAAUUUUAAAUGAUACUUGAUACAACACCAACCUUCAAUCAAUGCGAUGUCGUCGGUUUCAAGGCAAUCAGACGAGCAUGACGACAUACCAAACCCAACACCAGAGCAGCGUCAUGACACUUCUGAGGAUGAGGUGGCUGUUGAUGACCACCUGGAGCAGACACAUGCCGACUCUGAUGACGCACAUGAUUCUGAGGUUAUAAAUAAUAUACGAUAUUCUUGUUUUAUUAAUCAUUAUUGUUUUACUGUUAUUCUAAAGAUUUACUUAUUUUCUUUUGUAAUAGUCGAGGACAAAGCAGUUUAAUGAUUACGUGCGAUGAUGGCUGGAUAAGAUUGAUCGUAACGUGUAUGAAUUGAAGUCGGAAUUAAAAAAAUUUAAAGAAACCGUGGUUGGCUUUAUCGACACAUUUUCUACACGUCCAAAUAAAAAUUCUCCCACUGGAAGCUCGUAUGCGGUGAGUAUAAUUAAAUUUAAUAAUUAUGUUCGUUUAACUUUUAAUUUAAUAGUUGUUUAAUAUGUUCAUCUUGGCGAAUGGACAGGGCCCGGAUGACUAUGGAGUGUAUAUUGACGUGGGCAAUCAAAAUUUGUCUACACCCACGUCAUUGUAUAGUUUCUACGGGGAUGUUAGUGGGGAGAGCGUGCAGGUGUUCUCUAAGGUGCCUCCGGGCGUUAGUAAGUUCGGCCACGCGUACAUACCGUCGUAUGUUUAUAACAGUCCUUACAUGAUUCCUCCACUUAGGCGAGGAAAGAACGCCCGGCCUAUACCUCGACCCCAAAUCAUGGACCAUGCCUAAGACAUGAAUACGAGUGUAGAUAUAAAUCCACUGAGAGGAUUGGAGGAUUCUAGUCUGUUUGUUGAGUUUGAUCGAUGGUUCGCUGGUGAUAUGACAGUGGUUCGGAGAGUCCAGCACCCGCGGUCAUUCUUUCAAAUACUUUUGGGUUUAACUUCGAUGGGAUGGCUAGGCGAUGAGGUAAGUAUAUUUUCGAAGUUCUUUGAGUGUUGUGGAUUUGUGUAUAAAUUUUAUCUUUUAAAUCGUAAUGUUUCUGUUUCUCUAAAGCAUAUUCACGAGUGUCUCCGCUUGAUUAGCGAGAAAUAACGGCAGUAUCUGAAUGCCUUAGUUCAACGUGUCGCACAUACUGACACAUUUUUUUGGGUAACGUGCCGACAAAACUUAUAAUUACUAUUUAUAUUUUUUUUAAUUUUUGCCUUUAAGUUUUGUUAAUUUAUGCAUUUCUUGGUUAUCCAUGUACUAGGUGUUCUCGAAUCAGUUAUGGAACAACGGGGAUUGUGCGGUCGAUUCAUUAAUAUUCGACGACUGCUUGAAUAGUUAUCUUUGUGGGCGACAGCACACAAUAUCCAAAUCAAUAACGGAUGUUGAUAUGGUAUGUAUUUUAUUGCAUUUCACAUACUCCAUAAUGAAAAUAUCCAAGUUGUCGUUUUUUCUUGGUGUUAUUUCAAUUUCAUAUAUAACGAACAUGUUUUUCAAUUAUUAUAUACAGUUACUCAUCCAUGUGAACUUGGACGGCACGCAUUGGGUAGUAGCAUGAGUUGACUUUCGGAAAAAUAAAGUCUGGAUUUAUGACUCAUUACUCACAUUUCGCGACGACAAAAGGUACAAGUUGAAAUUCAAGCCACUUGAAGUUAUAUUCCCUCGAUAGUUGGAAUAUGUUGGCUUUUACAACAUCCGACCUGAGUUGCGGAGGUGAGUGAUUGUACCCUCAUUCGUUGUAGUUAGUACGUGAGAGUAUUUAGGGAGCAAGUUGUAUGGCUCUGCAGGGUUGCCUCGAACUAUUUUAAGACCAACUUCUCUCGGCCGAUAUGCCUGCUGGUAUGUUAACUGAACACCGUAUUCCUGUUGCAUAUCUGCUCUUAUGUCAUUCGGAGUAUAAAUUCUCUUGUCUUGAAUAUAUUUUUCUGCGAUAAUAUGACCGACAACCCAGCUCCUUACUUGAUGACGUCCACCCAAGGAACAUUUUGCUGGUUCGAACUUCUAGUUACUCGAAUACGCCAUUUACAUGAUUCCGAACAACAGUGAGCCUCGAAACGUGUCGUUGUAGACCGUGCAAUCUUGAAAUCAAACUUAUCCCUAAAGGCAACCUUACGUAGUUGUAAUAUAAACUCAUUCUUCUCAGCAAAUAGCUUACCCACAUUGAUAUCAUUUGAGUCACAACUGUUAACAAAGCUUGGAGCAACCAUGUUCGAAGGCAAAGUUGGAGCAAGACUUGUGAGGGGGUCAAUUCUCCUUCUCAAUCGAACCAUAGAAGGAAUAGGUCUAUUGCCUCUCUUAUUCAUAGGAGUAUUUUCUUCACACUGAUCGUCAUGCUGAAACGACGGAACAUUCGAAGGACCGGCUCCUCCAUCAUCACCAUCAUUAUUGAAAUGAGUGCCCCUCAUAUUAUUAGAAGGUUCUGCACAAACAUUAUCCCCCUCUGUCUCAUCAUGAAAAUCAUCAUUGUCCCGAAAAUCAUUGUUGUGAUACGAAGAAUACCGUUGCUCCAACGACGUCGUUAUUGGAAAUACCGUUGCUCCAACAUCCUGCAACGUAACGCCGUUAUCAUCAAUGUUGUCAUAAUUGUCGUGGAUUGGAGAGUAAUAUUGCUGCAGCGAUAUUGUCCUUGGCAACACCUCUUCUUCAUUAUCGGGGCCAGACAUAUUUGCUCUAAACGAAAUUUUUGUAUCGACAUGUGGCUCAAUACCUUCAUUCGGAACUCGAGGUGAUGUGGUCACGAAUAUAGAAAUGCAUCCAAAAUUGGCUACGUUGGAUGUCAUAUGUAACACAACUCUCACCAUUUCAUCAUCAAAUAUAUCCAUAGGCAGUGCACAUACACGAUAUAAUGUGUUACUAGACCUCAAAGUUGUUUUCAUUGUGAUACUAUAUUCAUUAGGGUUAAUUUGUAACACAUCGUAUCCUCUUGCCAAUAACUGAUCAAAUAGACAAUUUUUUCCAACCAAAAAAGCUCUAUUUUUACCAUUGACAUACUCUAUACGCCCAUCCUCUAAUGUCUCCCACCAACCAUCGUAACACAAUUCAAGUACAACUGAAUCCAUUAAGCUUGAAAUUAUAAAAAAAAUAAAUUAUUUGAGCCCUAUCAAAUUAAUAGUUAAUUGCAAUGAAUGUGGCUUUUCGUGCGACAGGCUGACUGUCGCAUGAAACUUAGUGCGAUAGGCUGACUGUCGCUCCAAGUUUUGGUGCGACAGGCACCCUGUCGCCAGAUUCACCCAUGAAACCACGAUUCGCAAUUCACUCAAACUUUCGAGCAAGUUCAGAAAAUAACUUAUACCAAUAUGUGAUGACGAUUAGUAUUGGAUCCGGAUAAAUUAUGAUCGGAUUUCACUUUUUAUCGUUGCCUUUGCCGUUGUCGUUGGUUGAUGAUUCAAGAGUGAGAAGCUGCCUUUGGUUUGACGAAAGGGGAGAAAGAAAGUUACUUUUAAUUUGUAAAGAAGGGUAAUUUGGGAAGAAAAGUGUGUAUUUGACUAAUGUUGAUAGAAAAAAAUUAAGAGAAUUAAUUGUGAAAAUAACAAAAGUUUUAUAAUUAUUAGUGUAAAUUUCCCAUUAAAUUUUGUAAUGGUAGCAACAUUGCGGGAAUUACGGAUUCAAAUUACCCGUUAUUGACGAAUGACGACUCAUGCACGGUUUUCUCGUUACCUUUCGUCGGCAGCUUAUUUAUUAUCUUCUUUUUUUUUUUCUUGUAAUUUUUUUAAAAAGUUUUUGGUGGGAGCUCUUAAUUUGUGGGUCCCAAAGUCCACGCGGGUCAAGAACCGUAAUGAAGGAAAAUCAUACGACCCGCCAUAGGGGCCCACGCAGUUCAAUUGGUUCAUGACAUGCUCUGUUGCGGUGACGUGUGUGUUUGUUACUAUUAAUAAUAUUCUCCAACCAUUUUCUUUUCUUUUUUUUAUUAAAAAAAAAAAUCCGCCCUUUUACUUUUAUUUUACUUUUUCUUUUUACUAGGAAAAUUGUGUACUUAUUUAAUCUUUUUACUAUUACAUUACAAAAAUAUUCGUAAGCUUGUAAAAGAUUUUACGGCAUUCACGGAUCAAAGGCCGAGCCAAUAAUAUAUGUGUUAAAAUUUAUUGAAUCCUGCUUUUGAUGUAUAGUAGUUGAACUUCAAUUCGUAAUGAAGUAAAUUUAAAAAAAAAAAAGAGAGAGAGAGAGAAAAGAAAAUCUGAUCCUACGCUAAAGGUGAAAGAAACUCCUCAAUCUUGUUAAAUAUUAAUUGAGGCCCCUGGUGGGCCAAAAAGUUGUAAGCAAUCUCCCAUUCAGUUUAGUCAUGUUCAAUAUUUUGAAUCCAAUGGCUUUGAGGUGGUGCCACGUUUGAAGACUUGAAAAUCUAUUAAUAGUCUAAGGCCGAUGGGCUUUACUUUAUAAAAAAAAAAAAGGAAAAAAAUCUAACUGCCAUAAUUAUUUAUUUUAAGAAAGUAAACCGAGUGACUCCUUGGAAAGAAAACUAACGAAGAAACGAAUCGUUGGUCAAGGAAAUUUUAACUUUAGGGGAAAAAAAAAAGUAUUUGUACAUCUAUUUUAAAUUUUGUCCAAAGUUAUUAUUGUUGGAAUAAUCUCAUGCAAUCUUCUGAAAUCACAAUCUCUCUCUCUCUCUCACACAUAUAUAUAUAUAGUCAUUUUUUAGCGAAGAUAUUUAUAUUUUAAUUAUAAAUGGUAGAAAUCUUUAUAGAUUUUGAGUCCCAUAGAGGUCCACCCAAAAGGGAGUUGUGAAUAAAUUUUACGGAAUAAGGUGGAGAAUAAAGGAAAAAUAAUUCUCAAAUUUUUAAUGGAAUGAAAUUUUGUUUUGUACUUUCCACCCUACCCCACACCAAUCUCAUUAUAUAUGAAUUUUUUUAAAAUUUUUAUUCAAUAAUUUUUGUUUUAUCAAUUAUAAUAUUGGUUAAUAAAAUUUUAUUUUUAUUUUUACCUAAUAUAAAUGAGUUAUAACUAAAAGAAAACCAUACAUUAUAAUUUUUAUUCAACCCUAAAAUAUUAUUACGUUUUAUUUUUUCUCUUAUGAUGGUACUCUCUUCAAACAUUUUUUUAGCUUUGGUAUCAUUUCAAGAUAUCGUUUCAAUCUUUUAGGGAUUUUUUAAAAAUUAUUUAAAUACGUUAUAAUAUGAUAAUGAUUUCAUUUAAGUCUUUAAUUUUUUAAUUACCGAAAUCAUUUAUCCAUAUCUACUAUAAAAUAAGCAAACAAGAAAUGGAGUGAGAAUGAAGAAAUCAUUCACCACAUGAUGAUUUCUCAUCUCUAUCCCACUAAAUUUAUUAGAGGAUAGAGUGAGGAAUGAAGACAAAACUUUUAAAGAAAUUUAGAAUAGAUGGGCCUCCUUGCCCCCACCCCACCCACUCCAUUGCUAUCUCUAAUUUUAAUAAAGUGACAAUGUCACUAAAAUAUAUAAAAAAAUUUUAUAGGUUUCAAUAUAUUAGAUAAUGUAUUUUUUGUCUAUUAAUAUCUUGAAAUCGAUGAUUUUUUAUAUUUUCGUGACAUCUUUACUUUAAUAAAAUAAUGAUGUCCUUACCAGUGAAAGACUAUGUAUAGUCCUCUUCUAGUGCGGGCGCCUGACGCCUCAUUUUUUAUUUUUAUUUUUUAUACAGGCACAUUUUGAAGUUAAGCCGUGCGAUUUAAUAGAGUCAUAUUUUAAUACUGUUAAACUACACAAUCUUAUAGUGUACUAAAAAAUAACUCAAUUAAAUCACAUAACUAAACCUGUUCGUAUUAAAAAAAAAGAGGAUACUUGCAUCUAAUAGAUAUAUAAUUAUUCUGAAGUGUGGAUGCUCGUAUUUUUUUUAAUAUGGAUACACUUUUAAACCGUGCAGUUUAAAAAAUUUAAUUAUUCAAUGAAUUAUAAAAUUGUGCGGUUUUAAAGUGUGUCCGCAUAAAAAAAAUACGGGCGCCCGUAUUAGAGAAUGACUAUAUAUAUAUAUAUAUAUAUCAAACAUGGAUAAAACUUGUGAAUUUUUUGGCAAGAAUCUAGAAGAAAAUGGCAACUAGUGUUGUUAUUUUAUGUUCAUUUGGAAACAGAAGAUUAAGUAGAGUUUGGUACAUGCAAAAUAAUAAUAAUAAUAAUAAUAAUAAUAAUGAUGAUGAUGAUAAUAAUUGAGUGGCAAAAUCAUGAGAUAGAUAAGAACCCGGCACUAGUAGUGGUCCCUCAAUACAACUGUCCUUAGAGUAUGCCAUGUGGUGGUUUCUCAUCUUAUCAAACCCAAAAUCUAAAAGGACUUGGUAUUGUUGAAGAUAAGAUGCAUCCCUUUCGGUAGGAGACCCCAUAUACCAUAUAGUUUUAGUGUAACGAUUCCUUCGGUUUAAACUAAAAACAUUUAUUGCCUCCUAAUUUUGGCCUUUUAGGCCAUUUUGAAGCCGACAUUUAUAAUAUUAAAAUAUUUUCAAAUAUUUAUUGUCAUUGCUUAGAAAUUAAUUUUAUUUUACAAGAUGAAAUAUUUAUUAUAUUUUUAUUAUUUUUAUUAUUUUUAUUAAAAUUAUUAUUUAAAAUGUACAAAUAUUAGAUAUUAUUAAUUUUUAUUUAAUUGUUUCAUACCCAAAGUUUACCUCAAAAAUCUCAACCCCAAAUUACCAAAACAUAAAACGAAAAACAAAAGGCCAUAAUUCUUUCAUAUUUUUUAUAUAGAUAUAAUAACGUCUGGUUCCAAUUGAACAAGCUGCAGAAGGACAAAUUCAAACGUGAUUGGCGUUAGACGAGCUGCUUGCGAAGGUGAACUUUGACCUUCUCAAAGAGAGAAAACACGUCAAUGUCUAAAAAUAGACCGGCCGAGGUAAUUGAAAACGAUUUGUAAAUAGAAUAGAAUAGAAUAUUAAAACACAAAAUAUGGGAAUUUUUUUUCCGGGAAAAUUGUUCUCUCCACCAGCUAAAUUCCAGUUCGUUUUCAAUUUUUAAUUUUUAAUACGAUUGCUUGUUUCUAAAAAAUUGACGACACAAAAAGUCUUUAGAAAAGCGUGUUGUAUUAAUAUUUAAAAAAAAAUUAUUUCAGAUACAACUUUACACAUAAAAAAAAAAAUGGAUAUUUGAGUGGUGAACCUUAGAAGCUUCCCUUACAAAAUUUGAAAAUGAUAUUAAAAGCUCAAAACGGACAAUUACGGUUCAAAUUAUAUCCCAAAAAAAUUAUAUACUUAAUCAUUUCGAGCUUUGUUCUUAAGUCAUGUCAAAUUCGUAGGUAAAAAAAAGAAAAAAAGAAAAAAAAAAAAAAAAAAAAAAAAGAAAAGGAAAGAGUCUGUGUUUGUUGACUCUAAAGCAUAAUACUGUCGGCACGUGAGAACAAAAAAAACUUCACCUACUCGCGCCAAAAGUUAUAUUCACCAUUAACGCAUAUUUAGUGAACCUUGUAACCGACAGGGGAAAAAGAAAAUUUUAAAAAAAGGCCAACUCAAUUACCUAUUUGCUUGCUUAACCAUAAAAAGAAAAAAGAAUAGAUGCCAAUGCUCAGUUAAGUCUUGUGAAUCAAGUUUAACUUUCUUUUUUUCUUUUUCUUUUUCCCCGUUUCUCCCUCUCCUCUUCAUACGAACAUGCUGUAAAUAAAAUGUGCUUACUAUUAGGGAAAGAAUCUCAAAUGAUUGGGUAUUAUUUAGCAAUGAUUAUCAAUAAUAAGUAUCAAAAUCAAUAAUACAAAAGAAAGAAACAAACUACACAUAUGGCGAAGGGGAGACAACAAAAUUAGAGAUAAGUGAUGGAGGGGAGCACUAAACAUAUCGGUUUAGCCAAGUGUCGUAGGGUUUGAGUUGGUUAUCUUUUGCCAACAAAAUCACGGGGAAACAUUUGGUCCCGGAUUCGACCCCCUUAUGGCCAUCUCAUGACAGCCUAGAUAGAAUACAGAUUCUUUUCUGUUGUCCAACUCCCUUUGCAUCUUCAAACGUAAAGUGUGUCACAAGAAUAACUUACCUUACUCGGAGCGAUAAGGCACUUUUGAGGUGUCUUUACAUAAAAGAGCUGACUUUGUAUUGGUCACACCGCAAAAAUGCAUUAGAAAAAUUCCCAUGAAAAGAGUUGAAACCUGAUAUAGGAAUGGAAAAGGAAAAGGAAAAGGAAAAGGAAAUAUGCUUUGCUGAGAUUGUUAGCAGCUACUGCGGCAAUGUGUUUGUUGGUCCCACCAGGCAGUAAGAUUGGCAAAAUAUUUUCAGCGUGGAUGUCGGAAGAGGAAAUUCAACUGGUUAAAGGAUGGACCCCACUUCCUAAAUUCUGGGCCAGCCUGCUAAACAUGAUGGAUGGACCGGUCAUUAUAAUAGAGUCUUUUAAUAUAUCGAGAAACAAAUCAGCGGCGGAUCUCAUCAGGAGGCUCCACUUACAUUAAAAAACUCGCCACAAAAUAGACCUGAUACCAACCAAUGUGUAAAUGCAGUAGAGCUUUUAAGUUUGGCCAAUUUCACGAUAACACAAGCGUAGCAUUGGCGCAAUGGUGGUGCUAGUCCUUCAUGCCAAGGUGCAACGCGAUAUUGACCAUUCGAAAGCACCAAGAAACUGCCGACAGCCACCGCAAUUACUUUCAUUUUUAGGGCUAUUUAUAUAUAUAUAUAUCAACCAGAAACAUGAGAUUAGGAAUUUCGCAUUUUCCAUGAAACAAUUCAGUUACUGAUUGCUGUUGAAAGUGAAAUAUUUGUCGCGGCAACCAAAUAAAGUUUAUAUUUAAAUGAAAGUGUCUAAGAAAGGGGGCUUUCGUUAAAAUAUGUGCGUGACAGCUAGAGCUAGCUGUCUUGAUGGGAACAAGUGAUGCGGCACAGAUUUGCCAUCUCAGCCAAAGAAAAAAAAAAGCCACUUUCCAUACUUUAAUUUUAAUAUUGUCUUUGGUAUUUGGUAAUUGGUAAUUCGAAAUUGAAAAUAGCUUAAAUUUGAAUGAAAAAUAAAAAUUAAAAUAAGAAUAAGGUAUAAGAAUUUAAAUAAAUUGUUUAUUUAGUUGGAUAAAUUAUAAUUAGAAUGAAUUAUAUUAUUAUUGAUGUGUUUAUUUUUAUCUUAGAAUCAGAAUGAAUUGUGAUAAGUAACUAAAAUAUCUUUUUUAUUAAUGAUUGUAUUUAGUAUUAUUUGUAUCUGUUAUAAUCUUAACAAUAAUAAGAAUAAAAGUAAUAAUAAAACUUAAAAUCAUAAUAAUUAUAAUAAUGACCAAAUAUUAAUUAAAAUAAUAAAUUUAAUAAUAAUGAUGAUGACAACGAUGAACUCAUGAAGAUGACAAUAAUAAUAAUAAUAAUGACAAUAUUAAUAAUAAAAAAAUAUUAUUACGAUUAAUUGUUAAAGGACUUAUUUACAAAUAAUACAAAAUUUCUGGGUAUUUUCAUCCAGGGACCAAAAUGUAAAAAUGACAUUAACUUGAUUGAGAACAAUUUGGGAUUAAGAAAAUUUAAUGAGGGUAAAAUGGGUAAUUUUGGGAAUCAGAUUCUGAUUAAUAAUCCUCCAUUGCCAAUCAGAAAUAUGAGAAUAAUUUCCAAGUUUCUGGGCCUGGCACUAUUUUGAACACGUCAUUAAUUCUGAUUUCAAAAUUCUCAUUUCCAUGGUAAGUAAACACACGUAAAUACUAAACUAGUUAUAGGCUGAUAUUUAAAUAACAAUGACAGGAGAAAAGCAUUGCUCUAGUUCUGUACUGAAUGUACAGAAUUUGCAAAAUCAAAGAAACAUUUCACUGCUAGGAAAAGAAUACCUUAAAAAGAGAGUAAAACAUGCUAGACCAAGAAUAUAAAGAUAAAUUGUGGGUUAUGGCUUUUCAAAGCAUGGCACUGAGUAUUGGUAACCCUGUUGAGUUCAUACUUCUGAUGAACAUACACAGCAAAUGGAAUCAGCUUCCCCAUCAACAAACAACCUAUUUAGCAGUAACUCCCCAUUUUAUCUAUUUAGCAGUAACUCCUGGAUCAUAUAGAUAGGAUAUAAAAUGUGGUUAAGCAACCUCUCAUUAUAACUGGAAAUGAUGAUAUAUAAUCUGUAACACAAGUAACCGUAAGUCAGGAAAUAAGCAAGAGUAAAUUCAGACAUUUGUAAUAUACUCUAAUGCUUCCUCAAUGGCUUUAAGACAGUUUCUCUUUAAUCCUCGGCUAAAAAUUUCUAAUUCCAAUCGGUUAUAGGGCAACUGCAAGCAACUGGGUAGUGUCUUCUACAAGGAAUCGCAGCUCAUAGGAAUUGACUCCCUGGUUUUAUUGGCACAAAUCAACCACACGAUGAACAUUCAGCUUUAAUAAAAGCAAGUCAGUAAUUUCCCUCCCCUACUAACACAACCAGAAGCUGCUAUUUAGAAACAAGUGAAUCAAUUGUGAACCAUCCUGAGUGGACCCAAGCAGCAUCGUGAUAAAUACACUAUUCGGCACUUUCAUAAUUGCCAAGUAUUUCGUUCUUAAUGUGAUAACAAUUAUCUCAAUUCCAAUUAAGUACGGAAUUUGUAAGCUCCGAAGAUGAUUCAAGUUUCUAGCUAUCCAAGAGGAUAGUACAAAUGCGCAUUCCGCAAAGUAUAUGAGCUUUGACAAAGGAAGACUAUUCAACAAAUUGGUUUAAAAGCACCAGUUUAUGGACAUAAAAGCAACUGAUUAGCAGUUUGGACCACAAGAUAAAUAUCAAUUUCAGUGGUGCUUCCUGCUGUUGAUUUGAAUGCUACUGGACACAAGGUUGGUGUUGGAUGUCUCAGCCUCAUUGAAGUAUUAUUAGUCCGUAGGAGGAUAAGUAACUCCAGGAAAAAUCCCAAGCAAUUCACAUACCAUUGAAAAGGAUACACGUUAUAUAUAUGCUUACAUGACUUUUACAUGUAAAUUUAUUAUUGUAAAUUCUUGAACUACAAAUCAAGAAUUGCUACAUGCUUUCAACAUCAGAAAACUACAAUAGCUUUCAACAAGCAUUGUCAUUACUAGGCCACAAUCAUGAAGUUGACCAUUGUAGCACAAACCAUAUAUAUAUAUAUCAGCUUCACUUACAGUAGAUGGAUAUUGUAUUAGUAAAUAUCAGGCAUAUAAAAACUAGUUACUGCUUCCUUUCGCCUAUCUAUGGAACACUGAUCUCAGGCUAUCUUAGUAGAAUUAUGUAAACACGCAGAGUGAGUAAAUCAAUCAGAUUAAGGGAACUUAAUAACCCUUGGUAAAUAAAAUUCAGAAAAUCUACAGCCAAAAUUACUGGAACCACACAGGGGAUACUUUAAUUUCCUCUCAAAAUUUUACAUACUAUAGGCCAUUUCUUCAAAUUGCUGCAAUUUGGGUCUUUAAAACAGCUUCACUUUUCAGUUUUUUAUUUUUAUUUUUUUAAAAUAAUGAAAGUAUCAUUUUCAUUCAUUAAACAAAGAUAAAACAUUGCCUACUUCUGCUGGUAUAGGGUCCAGCCAUACAUCAGUUUUAUUGUUUAUUACAGCAAAUUUGGCUAAAGAAUGAGCCUGGACAUUAUACAAUCUUGGGAUCUGUUGAAAUUUAACUUUCUGUGUUUUAGAUUGAAGAGAUUACCCAAAAAAUUUCAGUUCUAUUCGCUUUCUUGUUCUUGACCAACUCAGCUUCACUUUUCAGUUUCUGCACAAAGAAAAUGCCAAAACACGUCAAAAUCACCACACUAGAAAAUAAUAGCUGAUUCAGAUUGUCAUAAUUACGAGUAUAUAAAAAUUCACCUCUCCGCCUAGAACUGGAGGCAUUCUCCGAAUUUCCUAAUCACUAGAAAAUAGUUUGUUAACUCUUAAGAGUGAACAGAGUGAGAGGCAACCAAUCAAGUCAAUUCUACAUCAUUUGCAUUCACAAUUCUCAUACAAUUUUUAACUGCACCAACCAUUCAAGACUUUACAAAAUUCAUUUUGUGUAACACACAACCAGCAGGUGAUUUUAUUGAUAUGGUUUCAAGUUCCUUCGCUAUAAUAAAAUUUAAAAUUUACAGUGUACCUUUCUAAAAAGAAAAAAAAAAUUACCAUUCUUCUUGACGAAUAUUAUUGAGAAGAUCGAAUGAAGUUUUAAUCUUGCUUGUGAGUUGGGACCUCGUACUCUCCAAAACGAACAACGGUGUGAGUGUCAAGCCGUCUAGACUCUAGAGUGAGCGAGUGGCAACCCUACAUCUCACAUUAAAAAAUAAAGAGUGAUGAUACAGCCACAAACUCUUGUACAAAUUUAUUUUGUACAAACUGACGUGUCAUUAAUUCAUUAGUUGAAUGAAAAUAUAAAAUAAUAAAAAUAAAUCAUGUGGGCCAAGUAAUAUUUAAUUCAACUAAUCUUAUCGUGCCAUAUGAGUUUGUACAAAAUAAAUUUGUACAAGAGUUUGUGGCUCUAUCAUUACUCAAAAAUAAAAGCUAAUAAACGGAUAAGAUGUUGCUGGCACAUCAAAGCGUUUGAAAGGAUGACCUGACGUAAUAGGUUUCAUGAUUUAUAUAUUUUCCAAAGAUCAGCUAUUUUUGGAGCUUGUACUUGGUGGAGAAAAUAAUUAUCUACACUAUAUAUAGGUUUCAUGUCACAAAAAUUAUGGUAUUUUAUUCAUUGUUGCUGGCUAACAAGCCAAAAUUUACUAAUUUCAUAUUUUCUCUUUGAAAAAAGAGAAAAUCACGUUACAUGAGAUUUAGACUUAAAUUUUGAUAAGGUUGUCCCAUUAACUAAUGGAACUAGGCCUUGGUCUCAACCUAUCCCCCAAAGUAUCCUCGUCAAAUUCUUGAUUAUUAUCACACACCAAAAUUUACAAAUAUUUAGUCCAACUACUUGUCUUUCAAGCAGAAAUGUCCGACAAGUCGUUCUGGUGUUUCUCCUUUUGAAGUGAAAACCGACAUGCAUCAAUUGCAUCUUCAAUUGACAAGAAAACCGAAUCCUUCCCAAUGACGUCGAUGAACUUUGACAGUAUCAUUUUAUCCAUAACCCCAAUCCUGGGAUUUAUUAAUUUCAUCUGCAAAAAAAAAAAAAAAAAAAACAGAAAGUUAUCAACUCGGUUUUUUUUUUAAUUAUUUCAAUAAAAUUAGCAAAGAUUGAUACCACUUAAUUAUUAGAGGUUACCUUCAUAGAUUUUGCUUCCAAAAUUCUGAGUAUUUCUCUAAAUGCGGCAAUUCCUGUCAUGUCUAUUGUUGAAACUCCUACGCAAAAUAAUAAAAUCAUAUGAGCCAAUUGAAUUACUCUAUAAAUAAAAACUAACAGUCACAUUCUACCUGACAAAUCUAGUAAAACAUGCUCAAUAACAUCCGGCUUGGAAUUUGAUAAGGCCUGUUCAUCUCGGAUCCAUCUCAAAACCCUAUUUACAAUUCAUUUGCUUUAGAUUUUGCUCAAAAUAUUCAUUUUCACAUUGGAAAGAUUGAAAAAAAAAAAAAAAUUUAGUACCUUUCUCUAAUGUAAUUGCAAUUUGCAAAGUAAAUAGGGGAACCGAGUUGCAGAAUUAGGAUUCCUGGGAACCCUUGUGCAUGCUGAUACUGCUCUGUAUCCAGGUACAGAUUCGAGUCUGAGAUUUUUCCAAGCUUGCAAGUAGCAGGCCUUGCCACAUAUAUAAGCGUCCGAAGUAAAGCAAGCCCCACCUGUAUUAACAACUGAGAAUUUAAUAUCGAAACUAAUUAAAAAUAUGUAAUUUUUGUUUCAUAUGAAUUAUAUAAUAUCGAAACUAAUUAAAAAUUCUUACGGAGAGCAUGAGGCCAAUGUCCAUGCUUAUGAAGGCGACCCCAAGGAAAGCUGCCAUGCAAAUGCUAAAAUCUAGCUUAUCAACUUUGAAGAGGAGAAUAGCCUCUUCAUAGUUAAUAAGCCCGAACAUGGCGGACAUGAUGAUGGCUGAUAGAGCUACAAGAGGUGUGUAACUGAAGAGAGGAGCCAAGAACAAGAGUACAAGCAUCAUGCAAAAUGACAUUACAACAUUUGACAUGGCAGUUUUGCACCC